RNAcentral lists this ribosomal RNA (731 nucleotides) under human gut metagenome. Its description in RNAcentral is "bacterial SSU rRNA". It matches the Rfam family "Bacterial small subunit ribosomal RNA", at positions 776 to 1520 of the family's 1533-position model. The record is from RNAcentral.
GAUUAGAUACCCUAGUAGUCCACGCUGUAAACGAUGAGUACUAGGUGUUGGGGAAACUCAGCGCCGAAGUUAACACAAUAAGUACUCCGCCUGGGUAGUACGUUCGCAAGAAUGAAACUUAAAGGAAUUGACGGGGGCCCGCACAAGCAGUGGAGCAUGUGGUUUAAUUCGACGCUACGCGAAGAACCUUACCAGGACUUGACAUCUGAUUAAAGGCUCUAGAGAUAGAGAGAUAGUUAUAGUCAAGACAGGUGGUGCAUGGUUGUCGUCAGCUCGUGUCGUGAGAUGUUGGGUUAAGUCCCGCAACGAGCGCAACCCUUGUCCUUAGUUGCCAGCAGUAAGAUGGGAACUCUAAGGAGACCGCCGGUAUAAGCCGGAGGAAGAUGGGGAUGACGUCAAAUCAUCAUGCCCUUUAUGUCCUGGGCGACACACGUGCUACAAUGGCCGGUACAAAGAGAAGCAAGACCGCGAGGUGGAGCGAAUCUCAUAAAGCCGGUCUCAGUUCGGAUUGGAGUCUGCAACUCGACUCCAUGAAGUUGGAAUUGCUAGUAAUCGCGAAUCAGCAUGUCGCGGUGAAUACGUUCCCGGGCCUUGUACACACCGCCCGUCAAACCAUGAGAGCUGGUUUUACUCGAAGUCGUUAUUCUAACCGUAAGGGGGAAGGCGCCUAAGGUAGGACUGGUGAUUGGGGUUAAGUCGUAACAAGGUAUCCCUACGGGAACGUGGGGAUG